This 162-nucleotide ribosomal RNA is filed under the name Triticum aestivum (bread wheat). Its description in RNAcentral is "partial small subunit ribosomal RNA". The record is from RNAcentral. Lineage: Eukaryota; Viridiplantae; Streptophyta; Magnoliopsida; Poales; Poaceae.
AUGAAAUCGAAAAUAUUCCGAGAUGGCAAAUAUUCGGAGAUGACUAUGAAAACACCUCUCUGGAUCCUCGAAUUGAAAGAGAUCACCAAGAGAACUGUUUUUAUGAAAGAAAACAAAAAGAACUGUUUUUAUGUAACAGUUCAUCAGGCAAACACAUGUUGA